UACGGAGGGUGCGAGCGUUGUCCGGAAUCAUUGGGCGUAAAGGGCGCGUAGGUGGCCCGGUCAGUUCGUGGUGAAAGCGCGGGGCUCAACCCUGCGUCGGCCAUGAAUACUGCCGCGGCUGGAGCACUGUAGAGGCAGGCGGAAUUCCGGGUGUAGCGGUGGAAUGCGUAGAGAUCCGGAGGAAGACCGGUGGCGAAGGCGGCCUGCCGGGCAGUUACUGACACUGAGGCGCGACAGCGUGGGGAGCAAACAGG
Molecule: ribosomal RNA, 254 nt
Filed under: uncultured bacterium
Lineage: Bacteria
Description: partial 16S ribosomal RNA
Rfam family: Bacterial small subunit ribosomal RNA
Source: RNAcentral